UUUUUAGAAGUACUGAUACUAUCAGUCCUAAUUAUUUAUGGUUUGAAGUCACAGUCAAAGGAGUUCGGCUUUUGUUUUAUAUGUGAAAUAAUUACAGUGGUAAUUAUUAAUGUUACAGUAACUAUUUAUAUCGUUUUGUGGAUAAAAGAAAGACAAAAGGAACCAACUGAGAUGAAACCUCUGAUAGCUUCAGGUUGAUUGCAUUUGUAUACUGCGGGUUUUUUAUGCCUAUUUAGUCAUGUUAUUUAGCAAACUUUUGUGACAGUGAGAUUGUAUGAACUAAAUAAUAAAAGAAAUAUUGAAAUAUA
Molecule: long non-coding RNA, 308 nt
Filed under: Mytilus galloprovincialis (Mediterranean mussel)
Lineage: Eukaryota; Metazoa; Mollusca; Bivalvia; Mytilida; Mytilidae
Source: RNAcentral